AUGAGCUACAGGAUCAAUUCUUUAUCCCAUAAGUGGCAGAAUUACCAGGCCAAACACUCAGCUUGCUCUCACAUUAUGGAGAAAAAAAGCCAUGUGAGCUGGUCCAAGAUCACCUCCUGCCACACACGCACACACACACCGUCACCCCCACCACGCACGCACACACGCCCCAGGUCGCACAGGCGCACGCAGGGUCACACACACUCACCCCCUCCUGCCACGCACGCACACGCACAUACCGUCACCCCCACCACGCACGCACAGACGCCCAGGUCGCACAGCCGCACGCAGGGUCACACACGCUCCCCCCCUGCCACACACACACACCGUCACCCCCCCCACGCACACACACACGCCCCGGGUCGCACAGGCGCACGCAGGGUCACCCACGCUCACCCCCUGCCACACACGCACACACCGUCACCCCCACCACGCACGCACACACGCCCCAGGUCGCACAGGCGCACGCAGGGUCACACACACUCACCCCCUGCCAUACAGACAUACACACAGAGUCACUCCCACGGCGCACACCCCCACACACAUUGUUACCCCCUCAUACACACACAGCCACAGACCCUCACACACACAAACAGAGUCACCUCCCCCCACACCCUCCAGGUCACACAGCCACCCUCCCCUACCCACAUGGCCGUACCAGGUCAGACAGGCGUGCGUGUGUGCACACACGUGUGCACACACACAGUCAGCCCUCCCCCUGCACAGUCAUGUACUCACACGUGUGGUCACAUGCACACGCAUGCACAGUCAGCCUCCUCUCCCCACGCACACCCCCCCGGUCAUGUAAUUGCACACACAGUCACCCCUCCCACACAUAACGCACACAUGGUCACCCCCCCGUACACACAUGGCCACGCCUACACAUGCACACCCGGUCACACAGCCACACGCAUGGUCACACACCCGCCCACGCACACACACGCGUGCAGGUCUCGUGGCCACACACAGUCACAGCCUCCCUCACCCCCACCCCCAGGUCACUCGGCCAAACACGCGUGGGUUUACAGGCAUACACACGUCAGGUCACAGGUGCACACCCACACAGUCACACCCGCAUGCACUCCCCCCCCAAUUCACACACGCAAUUAA
This 1110-nucleotide long non-coding RNA is filed under the name Struthio camelus australis. RNAcentral describes it as "lncRNA (ENSSCUG00000015014.1)". The record is from RNAcentral. Lineage: Eukaryota; Metazoa; Chordata; Aves; Struthioniformes; Struthionidae.